UCUAUCUUAGAUUCCUUCAGA
Molecule: non-coding RNA, 21 nt
Filed under: Caenorhabditis elegans
Lineage: Eukaryota; Metazoa; Nematoda; Chromadorea; Rhabditida; Rhabditidae
Source: RNAcentral